CCUACGGGUGGCAGCAGUGAGGAAUAUUGGUCAAUGGACGCAAGUCUGAACCAGCCAUGCCGCGUGCAGGAAGACGGCUCUAUGAGUUGUAAACUUCUUUUGUACGAGGGUAAACGCAGAUACGUGUAUCUGUCUGAAAGUAUCGUACGAAUAAGGAUCGGCUAACUCCGUGCCAAGAGCCGCGGUAAUACGGAGGAUUCAAGCGUUAUUCGGAUUUAUUGGGUUUAAAGGGUGCGUAGGCGGGAGGAUAAGUUAGUGGUGAAAUCACGAGGCUAAACUUCUGUAUUGCAUUUGAUACUGGUCGGCUAGAGAGUAGGUGAGGUAGGCGGAAUGUAUGGUGUAGCGGUGAAAUGCUUAGAGAUCAUACAGAACACCGAUUGCGAAGGCAGCCUACCAAGCUACUUCUGACGUUGAGGCACGAAAGCGUGGGGAGCAAACAGGAUUAGAUACCCUAGUAGUC
Molecule: ribosomal RNA, 460 nt
Filed under: uncultured bacterium
Lineage: Bacteria
Description: partial 16S ribosomal RNA
Rfam family: Bacterial small subunit ribosomal RNA
Source: RNAcentral